This 254-nucleotide ribosomal RNA is filed under the name uncultured bacterium. RNAcentral's name for it is "partial 16S ribosomal RNA". It matches the Rfam family "Bacterial small subunit ribosomal RNA", at positions 524 to 777 of the family's 1533-position model. The record is from RNAcentral.
UACGAAGGGGGCUAGCGUUGUUCGGAAUUACUGGGCGUAAAGCGCGUGUAGGCGGGUCUUUAAGUCAGGGGUGAAAUGCCAAGGCUCAACCUUGGAACUGCCUUUGAUACUGGAGAUCUUGAGUCCGGGAGAGGUGAGUGGAAUUGCGAGUGUAGAGGUGAAAUUCGUAGAUAUUCGCAGGAACACCAGUGGCGAAGGCGACACACUGGCUCACUACUGACGCUGAGGCGCGAAAGCGUGGGGAGCAAACAGGA